UGACCGCGAACACUCCCUCCCUCCACUGAGCCAGAACGUGCAACAACAGCAGCAGGCCACCGCUACCUUCCUCGCGAUCUGCAAGGUCGAAACCCCCCUAAACCCUGUUGACAUGGGCGAAACUCCUUCAUACUUACAUCAUUUUGAUAUCAAUCAUUGUCCUUAUCAUGAUUUAGCACGAUCUAUCUUUGUCUAUAUCAUUGCCUGUGCCGUGCCUUCGUGCCGGUCUAUUUAUCCAUCUCUCUAUUUAUCUCUUGUGCUAUGGAAAUGUGCUACUCCGAGUUGUCAUCGUGUCUUUAUGUUGUCAGUGGUCGAGUCGUGAUUCUUGUGUGUUUGUCGUUGUCUGUGGACCGUGCCGUCGAGCCGGUUGAGAGAGUGAUAUGUUUGAAUGUUGCGAUCGCGAGUUUGUCUCGCCAUGGCCGUAAUGCCAAGCAUGUCCCUCCUCUCGUGUUGUCGUUCUUGUUUUGUGUUUCGUUGCCCCUGAGGACCGAGCCUUCGAGCCGGUUAGGGAAAUGGUAGUGCGUUCGACCAUUUCGAUCGUGGGUUCGACCCGCCGUGAUCGCAAUGUCGAGCGUCACUCGUUUUCCCGUGUUUAGUUGACUUCGUCACGCUACGCUUGUUAGCUCCUACUCCCGUCCCUCGGACAUGGUCAUCGUGUGUCGUCAUCGACGCGGUUCUUACCCGCACACUCGAUACCUAGGUGGCCUAGUCGAGUGGGAUACGAAUUAGGGGGCAACCUUCGUGGAAUUGUCGGAGACCAACUUGUUAGGUGGAGCUCAUGGCCGCGAGUCGCCUCGCCAUGGUCAUCAGGCUUUACCUUGCUUCUCGCAUGUUUAUCUUAUCUGUCUCGUAUGCUUAUGCCACCUAGACCCGGGCAUUUCUCCUAGUUCCCGCGAUGACAACCGCAUCGUCUGGAACUAUAGGAAUGACCUUGUGCCGAUUCAGAGGCACCUAGGUCGUGAAGUGUUAUGAGUUAGAGUAGAUUGUGGGGUCGUAUCUCUUUUUAACCAACCGUUUUUCGUUCUAUGGCGUGUUGGUUGGAAGAGUGUGAUUUCGUUCUUCUCUCUUGGUCUCAAUCUCCGUCGAUCCAGUAAGAUACGGAUUGAGCCCUUUUGCUUGUUUAAUGUUUUGUCUCCAAUCCUGCGAUUCCCGUCGUUGCUAUGGCGAGCGGAUCAAUGGAAAGUGAAACACGUGUCUUUUCUUGCCUUUUUGGGGUUCUUCGUGCUUAAACUUUUGUAUGCUUGUACCUAUUCGACCAUAGCAUAUCUUUGGUUCUCGCGGUGACAACCGCACUGCUAAGAACCCUAGGAAUGUCUUAGUGCAUUCAGUGUACCUAGGUCGUGGUACCCUAUAAGUAGCUUGAGCACUCUUUUUCUUUGUGUGUCACUCUUUCUAAUUCCUCGUCUCUUACCGUGGCGAGUGGACUGGAAGGAGUAGACCACUCCCCUUUUCUUCUCUCUUUGUUCCACCCUCUCUUGACUCUCGUCAAUCAUAAUGGCGUACGGGUUGAGAGAGAUCAGAGUUUCUUGUGCUUACAACCGUUUAGUUCUCGUCAAUCUCUAUGACGCUUGGAUCGAAAGUUCGUAAGCCAUGGUGUUUACUUAAAAUGAGUUAGAGUCUACGCCUUUGUUACUAAAGCCGUACAGGUCGACACGAUCGACUCGGGAAGUAACGGCUAGGCGAAGACUCCAGCUUGUACUUAGUAAACACCAUUCCCAUUUCUUUUAGCCCAGGGAUCGGACAUCCGCCGAGAGGGCUAAGCCGUUUUCCUUUCGGUGCUCUUUCAGUGUAGUUGCCCAUCAGUGUUUUGUCGCCUCUUUCGCAGUCUCUCUAGGACUAGUGGGUUGAUUGUUUCGCCUUGUUUGUCGCUUUCGAGGUAGAUGCUUCGGUUAGCGUUGAUCGAAUCGGAACCAGUCGAAGGAAGGACAUGCAGAUAGGAGAAAGACCUUGGAUGAGUACAACUACAAGUGAACUGAGGAUCUUGGGAAUGUCACUCGACAGGUGCCACGUCCCACCCAACCUCGUAGAAUCCUAUUAGACAUGCAAUAUUGUAGAUGCUAGUGCUUUACUUUUAUGCAAAUGAAUUGAGAUAGGUUGCAUGGUAGAAAUGCUUGUGAGCCAUUGCCUUGUUGCAACCUAUAACCCUCGCACACCCGCUGUUAGGUUAGACGCUUGCAUACUACUUGCUACUGCUUCUACUACGCAUUAUAUCUGUGAUGUGAUGCAUUGUGGAGGAUUGGAUGUGAGUGGAUAAGGCACGUGGUGCCGAUAACUGGAUAAGGAAUGGAUAAUGGAUUUGGGGAGAUCUUGGCGUGUGUCUUGGGUGUGUGGUGAGGGUCGAGUCGACCGAGCAGGAUUUACGACGAGUCUUGGGACAAGUCUUGCCGGGGAAUGCUACCUGGGCGUUCUCCACGAGAGGUACCUGUGGCGGGUACAUGUGAUAGGGAGAGGUCCCGGAGUGGAGUGUCUUCGUGGGACGAAGCACCGAGAUAGGAGGUGCUGUUUAGCACGGGGUAGUCGGGUGUCCCGUCGAGAGGGGCAUCGGCUGGCCCCUCGUGAAGAUGUCCUGUUCGGUUACCCUAAGGACUGAGAUGUUCUGAGAACCGGUUCGUAGGAAGCCUUACACGCCACUCGCCUUAUUAUGGUGCGGGACGGAUGUACGACCAGCUAGUGCGGUGCCACUACUACUAGGUUGAUAGCGGAUAGUGUAGGGAGGUACGGGCAUGAGGACCCACACCCUCCUAAGACAGCGUAGUGACCUUUGGGGGCCCGGUACUACGCCUCACAGUCUCAGCAUGCCGGUGGUACUCCGGUGUGGCCCCAGUCCUGAGUGGUAGGGUGGCAUCGUAUUUAGUUGGAAGGCAGCCCGGUAUCAGCCUAGACGAGCCGGUUCGUCGAUGAUGGUGAUCUUGUGGUUAGUGUAAACCUCUGCAGAGUUUGGUUGAUCGAUCGAUACAUAUGCCGUCUUCUCGGCUAUGGACCUUUUCUAUGUUCCGCUUCGCUUGACUAGUGAGAGGAGUCCUUUCUACCUUCCCCUGGGUUUGUGUUGGAUCCGGCGUUGGCCGUUGAGGCAAGGCACGAGCGGGAGUCGUACUUGCCGCCUAGAGAAUGAGAGUGUGGUGAGAUGUGUGUGAUGGGAUGGAUGGAUGGAUGGAUGUGUGGAUGAGAUGGAAUAAAACUUGAUGAAUUAUUAUUAUAAAAUAUUGAUGAACUUGCAUAGGAAAAACUACAGCUAUACAUAGGCCUCUUGAUAUACCCUUUGCAUUUCCACCUACCACAAAGCUUACGCAAAAGCAUAGGGUGGGAGCCAGUGGCCAGUACAAAUCGUACUGAAAAUUGUUUAGCAGGUUUUGAACGUGGUCUAUGACGAUAACUACGGAGAAUAGAAGGAUUAGGUGGUCUCGCUCCUGCGCUCAAGUUUGGUUCAGAGAUGAAGGCUACGCCCGCUGAUAAACUACGCCGACUCUGAUGAUUGUCCGUGAAGGAGGAGCCUUCACCGCUGACGCGCUACAUCGACUCUGAUAAAGACUCGCGUGUGUUCUCGCUAGAAAAACGAUGUAAUAGGCUUGUUGACCAAGAGUUGUAAAGUAAAUGUGUUGUAAUCUUGUUUCUCACGAUGUAUGACUACGAUAACAGCUGAUAUAUGAUAAUGCGAUAGUUCAAUUUUUGAAUUAUCACAUUAUAAUUCGAAUCUGUGGAUUUUUCCCUUUGUGGAAGAAUCUAGGUCGUUUCAGGAGCCGAAGAGGAGCCCUACCAAACAGGCCCUUAAUAUUGCUGGUGGACACU
This 3786-nucleotide long non-coding RNA is filed under the name Sorghum bicolor (sorghum). Its description in RNAcentral is "long non-coding RNA (SBIC_LNC013395)". The record is from RNAcentral. Lineage: Eukaryota; Viridiplantae; Streptophyta; Magnoliopsida; Poales; Poaceae.